This 975-nucleotide long non-coding RNA is filed under the name Mus spicilegus (steppe mouse). RNAcentral's name for it is "lncRNA (ENSMSIG00000026136.1)". The record is from RNAcentral. Lineage: Eukaryota; Metazoa; Chordata; Mammalia; Rodentia; Muridae.
CUGCUCACAGGCAGGCGGCUUCUCAGCGGCAGGCGGCAGCCCCUGGUGGAAUCAGAAGAUGGAGGGAGACGUUAAGCGAAAGGCCCUUGUUUAAUAGAGAUGUUUUCUCUUUAACCACAGCUAAGAGGAAAUGGGGUAAAGCCUACAGCAUGGGGAAGAAGAUGUGAUUCAACUGUGUCUCUCCCUCCAUUUUGCCUGUGAUUUUGUUUCCUCUUAGGCUCCAGUGUGUGGCCCUAGACCCUAUCUCAAACCAAAGGUGUCUUCCUUGGAGAGCUGUUCACCUGAGAUCAGCUGAGCACCGAGUUCUCCAUUGCCAUGUCCCUUAAGAUGGGGAGUCAGCCUAGGAAUGAACAGAGAAGUGGAACUCAGGAUACAAAGAACAGUCACAACCGGAAGACAAGGCAAAACCUAGGCUCCUUUGAACGCCCUCGGCUCUGCAGUGUCCUGGUCUUCUGGUUUCCAGACUCACAUCUUGGCUCAGGGGGAUUGACAGCUAUCCCACAUGCUGUUUCUGGUCUGUUUAAUCAAACUUUCAUUUGAUGUUGGUUGGAAUUUCACAUGUGGACCAAAUACAAAGAAAUUAAGUGAUUCCAGCAGCUUGAAUCUAAGGGAAGUAUUAAUCUUUGAUAUCAAAUAAUCUGUUUCCAGGGGCACUGGGUAAAAGCUGGUUCAUUUGUUCAUUCAUUACUUCAUUCCCCCCUCACCCCCAUGUGGCAAGCAAUUACUAAGGACUGCCCUGCUCAAAACUUUUCAUAGGUAUUGUGAGGGUCAUUAAGGGAAGUGCAGAGCAGCUUAAGAUCUAAUGAGGAAAAGAGAUGAUGAGCUAGCCCACCUUGCAAGACAGAAGUUGGCAUACUGCAGAAACUCUCACUUCUGGGCUAUGAAAUGAUUCUGGCAUAGAGAAGAGGGAACAACAUGUGGUAUAAUCUAAGAAAGUGUACCACGAUAGAGGAAGAGAAAAAUGGUAUUUUAUUG